RNAcentral lists this long non-coding RNA (264 nucleotides) under Elaeis guineensis (African oil palm). RNAcentral's name for it is "long non-coding RNA (EGUI_LNC051099)". The record is from RNAcentral. Lineage: Eukaryota; Viridiplantae; Streptophyta; Magnoliopsida; Arecales; Arecaceae.
ACUUCCUUUCACGUGGUUCCUUAAUUUGUUUUCCACAUAAUAAAGGCAUCACAUGGAAACCAAAGCAUAUAGAGAAGACCAAGGGAAGAAGGGCCCUUCCUUACCUAAUCUAGAAGCCAAGGUGCCAUCAGAUGGCACGUGGAAUUAGGUGUUAGCAUGAGAAACAAAGAAGGGAAUUAAGAGUAAAUAAGAAGGACUUUCUCCUUCUUAAUGCCAAACAAAUGGGGCGUUCAAAAUAAAUGGCAUGGAAUAAUAUGAGGUGGC